UUCAUAAUGGAUUUGCAACCAUCACAAUUACAUGACUAUUCAUUUAUUUAGGUUUAUAUUUUUGUUCCCUUCAGGAUGUAAAUAAUAAUUACUCUUAUUUAUUCCCAUGGUUACCUAUGUACAUGUUGAUAUUUUAUUAGGUUGUAAUAAGCUGAUAUUGCUUUCUAUGUGCUAACAUCACAUCAGGAAAUUACAAAGAGAAUAAUAAUCAAAUUAAAAUUAAAGAAAAAGCUAACUUAGCGGCAGAUUUGUUGCCCUUUGAGCUCGGCAUGUAUACUGUCUCUCCGGCCACACAUUUCUCGACAAUAUUAAUAUCAAGGUGCAGCAAAAGCAUCAUCCACCCACUUGACAGAGACCUUAUUGUCGGUUUUGGACGAAACGGGCAAGCCAAAGAAACCUUGCACAGCAGCUCGGACCUUGUUGUGGCGCUUCCGUUGUCGAAUCCGCCGCAGGACCACCUCUUUAUCUAACGUUUGAGUGGAGUGAGCAGGCUUUAAGCGGACGUGACUGGUCACGGUCACGGCGCUUAAGAUUUCUGGGUCUUCUUCAUCUUCUCUGGAAUUGUUGUUGUUGGUGUUGUUCUCCGCCUCUGAGAGAGUGGGCUGGGAUUUAGAUACCAAGGAAGACAUUACUAAAGCUUGGUUGCUAGAAUGCUAGCUAGUCUAGUAGUGCACCGAAAAUGUAAUUAGCAAUGGAGAUGAAGAAGUAUGCGAAGGUCUCGUCUGUUUAUUGAAUUGGGAUUUGGACGGUGCAGUGGGCUCCAACUUUGAGAUGGUCUGGGGAAACGGUAGCAAUAGAAUCCAUGGUUUUAAUUUCUUUGGGAAGUAGGUUGCAGGUUUCAUGCUAAUUUAAUAAGGGUGAAGGCAUAUUCCUUUUCCUUUAACUAAAAGGUUAACUUAUGCCUAGUUUCUUACAUGUCACACUUGUUGGUUCUUUGUAGAAGUUUUAUGAAUUGUCUUUUCAAUUUGGUAGAAUAUAAAGAUGCUAAGAAGUGGAUUCUCAGUAGGAAAGUGGCAAAAAGCAACCCUCCUCAGAGCUGCCAAUAUUUCAAUGGCUUGGGUAUUGGGUAUUGUUGUUGUAGAUCAAUGUCAGUUCUGGACUUGGG
Molecule: unclassified non-coding RNA, 1105 nt
Filed under: Hevea brasiliensis (rubber tree)
Lineage: Eukaryota; Viridiplantae; Streptophyta; Magnoliopsida; Malpighiales; Euphorbiaceae
Source: RNAcentral